Long non-coding RNA from Astatotilapia calliptera (eastern happy), 3387 nucleotides. NCBI's taxonomy places the organism in Eukaryota, Metazoa, Chordata, Actinopteri, Cichliformes, Cichlidae. The record is from Ensembl.
CCCCACGGCUGUCAGACCAAGUCGGGCCUUUUCGUCAGCGAUCACCGCGGCGAUGUUGACCUUUGGGACCGCCGGCUGGCAAAGUGACGUCGACGCCAGCGUCUCGGCGGUAAACAAAACACCGGGGAGACGAACGCUCCUUCAGGCCGUUUCAGUUCAAUCCAUCAACUUCCAGGAUAAACACCAAAAAGAGAAAAUCCUGUUUUUCCCCCCACGCUGUCUUUGCAGAGAGAUCGUGCUGUUCGCAGAGGCCGACGCGCAGAGCCCGGUCCUUUUUGGGGGUCGGCUGACUUUGUGUUUAACUCCACGUUUAAAUCAUCGUGGGAAAUUCCCUCAUUUGCUUUGUUGCUGAGAGAUUCGCAGAUUUCUGAAACUCGUUUUCAGUCAAAGCUGGAAGCCAGUUCUGAAACCUUCUUACUGUCACUGCUGACCGCCGAACAGACACGCCCGUCUGUGAGCCGUCUGUGAGCCGUCUGUUUUCAGCCCGUUGCCUACAUAAACUUGUCACAGUGCAAACUCCUUGCUGACAGUUUAACCAAAAGGCGUUUCCAGUGGAAACUGGCCGACAGAUCCUCAGCACAACCAUGUAUAACAUCCACAGAACUUAAAAAGAGGUUAUACACACGAUACGGUAACAUUAUGUUGAAGCACAGUACUGUGCUAAACCAGUUCCACCACUGGAGUUGCAGCAUUUUUAUAAACCAGUUCUGGUUCAACCUCCUCUCUCCGUCGCCGCCGUGCUUUUUCCGCCAUGUGCGUAUGAAAACAGGCACUGCGCAUGCGCGUGUUACCCACGUUCUAUCGCCAUAUUUUCUUAUCGUUGCCCAACGUUAUACCGGUAUUACCAUGAACGGGAUGAUGUGGCCCAGCCCUGUCCCUCACUUCCUGCUUUUCCAGCGUUUCAUCAGUGCUGUCAGUCUGCUUUCACUCUCAGCAGCAAAGUGAAAAUAGUCAGAGUAUAAUACGUUGGAGUUUCGCUCUUUAAUAACAGCUCGGUUACCGUCCGCUACUUUAUGCCUUUCACCUGCAGAGCUCAGCAGGCGUGUCCACGCCAACACGGUUUCCGCGAGUCUUACAGGAAACGCUCGAGUUUUCCAUCAUCUUCCCGGAGGUCAGCGGAGCGAGACGGCUCCGCUUGGCCGUCUGAUUCCUCGCUCUCUCUUUUUAUUCUAACAAACGGACAGCGCCUCCCGGGCGCCUUUCCAGUUUUGUGUUUUUGAUUCACCUCCGUCUCCUUCCUCGACACAGCCGAGCCGCUGAGAUCACAAAGAUGCCCGACAGGGUGGAGUGUGUGUAUGUGCGUGAUGAGAUGGAUCGUUUGCAGGUGUGUUGGAGAAAAGAGAAGUCGGAGGUCAAGGAGGGGUUUGUAGGAUGCAGGCAGACAGACGACGGAUCAGAUAGCGGAUCCGAGGAGACGAGGCGGCUGGGAGGUGAGAGGAGCUCUGCUUUGAUUGGAGGGAGAUGAACAAUGAUGUCUUCAACAGGAAGCCCGUUUUAUCAAACUCCUUCUAACCUUUCUAGAAACCUCACACCUAAUGAGCUCCUCUCCUGAGCCGAGCUGUGAAGUCUCAUUACGUCAAACACAGUUUUAAUUGAGCCGCUUGAAGUUUCCAAAGUCUGUGAGAAACGACUUGAUGGUGCAGCAGCUUCUCUCGGCCUCCCCGCCCGUCUCCAGGUGAACUUCAGAACUGGUCCCACCUCUGAUAUGAGCUCCUGCUGCUCACAUCUCACGCAGCCCCGAGGGUGAGAGCUGAGCCGGCUGGUGGAAAACAGUUUUCAGAAUAAGACAAAGGCUUCAUGUUUUGCUUUAUUCUCUCGUGUUUUUGUUGAGAAAAUAAUUGAAUGUUGUAAAAAGGGUGAGGCGGGAUUUGAAGGGCUCGCUGGCUUCUAAUGAAACGCCUUCAAGCUGUAAACGAAAGACAUAAAAAAGUUUCAGAAGACGGCGGCAGGCAGAGCGAUGGUGGAGGAGAUGAAGGCAGGUUGGAUAGGAAAGUUUCAGUAAGUGUGUGGGAGCAGGUGAGGUGCAUGUAAGGGGGGCUUUGUAGGUUUUUAAUUAACGUCUGGUUGCUUGUUAGAGCGUGAGAGCAGAGAUGAGCCGCGGAUGCUGAGGGCUCAUUCUCAAGCAGGUAAAACAGAAGUGCAGAAAAUCAGGCGAUGCAGAUUAUUUAUGUCACUCUGAAAACUUCCUCAUGCAGUCGCAGCCGUUUGAGAUGCCAGCAGGCAUCAGCAGGAGCUCCAGAGGAGGAGGCUGUGUCGAGGAAGGAGGCGCGCCGCUGUGCCUCGGCGGCGCUUUCUUUGUCUCCGUUUGAAUCCCCGUUUCCAGUUAGCACAACAGUGUGUCUUAAUUAACCUCAGCCAGUCUGAUAGUAUUUCAGCACUAAUGGCUUCCCAAUAAAGAACGCCGUGGCUUCCUGCGUGGGAGACGGCGCCCAGCGCUGUGGCCGAGGCGAGCUGUCACAAGUGACUGAUGCUGAGUGACAGCUGAAGUAGUAUUUUAAUGGCAAAGGCGGUGCCUGUUUUUCUUUAACUCACCGGUGCAUUUGUAGAGUAGAAUCUGUCCCCACCCUGCUGUGGAAAGCAGUGUGCCAAAACAAAGCGCCCGUGGAGCUCGCGAUCUCGCGAUCUCUUGAUUCUGACAAAAACAGUUCGUUACCAGCACGUCAGUAACAACUACAGGCCUCGAGUUGGACCAAAGGAGGUGCUACUCUUUCACUCUCUCUUUUCUUUCUGCUUUUAUUGCCAUGUUUUUAAGCAGGUUCAAACUGUAGCGCAUGACUUUAGUCGCCCCCUUCUGGCAGUGAGAGUAACUGCACACUGACAGAAGGAAAAGUUGCAAACGACAAAGAUUUUACUUUGUGCGUAAAGGCUUAAAGGUCCUUUUUGUAACUGCUCUCUUCAACUGUAACUAAAUGUGUCACCACCAGGGGGCAGCAUUUAACAGCGCGCGAGUUGAGAUGUUUCCAGAUGUUUGCUGCUGUUUCAUUGCUGCUGUUGGCCUCCCACUAGACCACCAUUGUGUUCCAUACGCUGCACCACCCCGUGGAGGGACACGCCGCCCUCGUUUUCCCCACAUUUCACUGUGAUUGCUUUCGUUAAUUUUGGAAGGUUUUAAAUUGUAUUUACUCGCAGGAAUUUACAACAAGUACCUUUAAUGAGUGCGCUGUGACGUCUUGGAUUUAUAACAAAGUCGUGCACUGCAGCUUUAAGCCCUGCAGAGUCCUUACCUUCUGCACAUGUGCAUUACUUGUGAAAACAGGACAUUUUCUUAUCUACGGUCUCAUUUUGACGAGUCUUGUUCCUUUUUUUGUAUCUUGUACAUGUUUACAUUGUAUCUCGCAUUGCCCAAAAGAGAAACAAUAUUAAAUGUAUAAUCUUUGUUGUUUUAAA